RNAcentral lists this ribosomal RNA (496 nucleotides) under uncultured bacterium. RNAcentral describes it as "partial 16S ribosomal RNA". The record is from RNAcentral.
GUAGUUAGCCGGGGCUUUCUAAUGGGGUACCGUCAUUUUUUCGUCCCCCACAACAGAGGUUUACAAUCCGAAAACCUUCUUCCCUCACGCGGCGUUGCUGGGUCAGGCUUGCGCCCAUUGCCCAAUAUUCCCCACUGCUGCCUCCCGUAGGAGUCUGGACCGUGUCUCAGUUCCAGUGUGGCCGAUCAGCCUCUCAGCUCGGCUACCCAUCGCAGGCUUGGUGGGCUGUUAUCUCACCAACUACCUAAUGGGACGCGAACCCCUCCUUCAGCGGAUUGCUCCUUUGACCUCAUCCCGAUGCCGGGUCGUGGUCUUAUGCGGUAUUAGCACUUGUUUCCAGGUGUUAUCCCCCUCUGAAGGUCAGGUUGUUCACGCGUUACUCACCCGUUCGCCACUAAACAAAAGAAAUAGUAAACUACCUCUAAUAUUCCGUUCGACUUGCAUGUGUUAGGCGCGCCGCCACGCGUUCGUCCUCGACCAACGAUACAAUUACUGA